Long non-coding RNA from Armigeres subalbatus, 374 nucleotides. RefSeq lists it as uncharacterized. Lineage: Eukaryota; Metazoa; Arthropoda; Insecta; Diptera; Culicidae. The transcript is spliced from 3 exons. The record is from RefSeq and is a predicted model, not a curated record.
CUAAACUUAUACUUUUGAUUAGGAUCGGGAUUGAGAAAAAAAGCAGCAUGGCGCUGGAGCAGCUCGGAGAUCCGGUAUUUUUUUCAAUAGAUUGCAGUGAUUCAACGAAGUCAAGGUUUUUAUUUCGAUCUGCAGUGAAUGGUUACUCACCACGGAACGGAUCGAAAAUCUUGGCUCGAUCGGGCCGCCUACAGUUAAGCGAAAAAUGGCGAUGCACAGCAUAAACUGCUCGAGAGAAAAACAGUGAUUUGAAGAUCCCGAGCUGCAGCUGCAGAUCAUGAUCCGGUCAUAGUUAGCACCCGCGAAAAAAAGAUGUAAUGCCCAAACAAAAACCCGCUAGCAUAAUGAUAUGCGUCUACCUGCAUUAAAGCCUG